CCCUUGUUGAUCUUGGUACAUGUAGAGUUCUUCAAUUAUUUUGUCUUGUGUUUCUUCAUCACCAAUCAUCUUUGUAAUGCAAUUAAUCACUCCAGCUCUAAAGGAUCCAUCAUGCUCAAUUUUAGACAUCUUUGGAUAAUAAAAGUAAGGAUUCAAGUAGUACCCAACUAAGUGAAGUGGAGUUUUGAGCUUGCUAUCCCACCGCUUAUCAAUAAUAUCCCAAGCAACUUUGUAGCGGCUCUCAUCAUUGUCAAACCUCUCAGAAAUUUCUUUCUUUGCCUCAAGCAUUAAUCCAUGAAAGAAUCCCAUUGCUGGUACAUCACUGUCCAGUCUCCUCAACACAUUUGCC
This 349-nucleotide long non-coding RNA is filed under the name Zea mays. Its description in RNAcentral is "drought responsive lncRNA". Lineage: Eukaryota; Viridiplantae; Streptophyta; Magnoliopsida; Poales; Poaceae. The record is from RNAcentral.